UUUAGUGUAAAAUAACUUAGAUUAUGUUUCUUUCCUUUCUCAUGUCAUAGAUCUCAAGUUAACACCCCUUUUGGUUACAUAUUUAUCACAAAAACACAUAAAAUCACACACAUACAUGCAUAAAAUCACACAUAGCAUACACAUACACAUAGAUCUACACAUUUUCUUGUAUUACCCCCAAUAAAAAAAUAUGAAAACUAAAAAGAGAGGGGUAUGAAGCUCACCUUGAGUUGUGUUUUCGGUUUUGAAGAGUGAAAAGAAGAAAAUUUCGAUCCUAGCAAGUCUUCUUGGUAGAUCUCGAGUUUAGUGACUUCUAAGGUGCAAGAUUACAAGUUGGAAUAGAUUUAGAAGAGAUUUUUGAUGAAAUGAAGUAGCUAGAUCAUGGAUUUAACAUAAAGUUACCUUAGAUGAUGUUUUUUUGGGGAAAAAUCUCCUUGAAAGCUCCCUUAAUCUCGAAAAUUUGAUGAGUGAGUGUAAGAAUGUUCUAGUGAGAGUUUGAGAGAAUGGAAUGAAUUUUUGUGAGUGUGUGUGUUGUGUUCGGCCGAGAGAAGAAGAGAGGAGAGAAGAGAGAAGGUUGAUGAGAUGGUUGCAUGGAAAUAUGGGAGAAUGCAUUGAAGACCAUUAAGUAAAAAUGAGUUGGUACACACAAAGUCAACUCCUCCUUCUUUGUGGGCUUGGGCCGAGAAUGGAGAGGGAAAAGAGAAAGAAUUGGGUCUUGAGUGCUUAGCCCAUAUUAUGACUCACUUUAGAUGAUGUUUGGGCCCAAAUAAAUCAAAGUGUAAUUUUUAUGACCUAAUAGGGCUAAAUUAAUUUGGUUGUGACCCAGUAAGGUCCAUUAAAGCUAACCUAGUAUAUAUUGGGCUCAUAAGGCCCAAAAAUAUUAAGUUUCAUGUAUAUGGGUCCAACUAGGGCCCAUUUGAGAGUCCUAGGUUCAAGAUGGAUGAUUUGGAAGUUUAUUAUUCCAUUAGGCCCAAUAAGGAAAUCCUAGUCCAAAAUGGACUUAAAUUGGGAUUUCAAAGGUUUCCAAUUCUUUGUUGACCAUUUGUAGUGCUAGAAUGAAGUAUUUGAUGAAAUUUUGUUGUUAUAGAAUAAGCAUCAUGCAUGCUUUCAUAUUAUUGAUUCAUAGUUAUUAUAAGUGUUGUAGUUACAAGGCCUCAAAAUUCCUAGUUUUGACAUCAUCCCCCUGUUAGAGGGAAUUUUGGAUCGAAAUUCUUUUAAAACCUAGAUUUGAGAAUUCGAGAAUAAAUGAGGGUACUUCUGCUUCAUUUGAUCUUCGCGUUCCCAUGUGAAUUCUGGUCUGCGUCUCGCGUUCCAUCGAACUUUCACAAUUGGAAUGCGGCUCUGCUUGGUACGCUUUACCUCUCGGUCCAUGAUUUCAACCGACUCCUCGAUGAACAGAAGGUUCUCAUUGAUUUCGAUUUCCUCUAAUGGAAUGACGAGAGUCUCGUCGGAUAAGCACUUCUUCAAGUUGGAGACGUGGAACACAGGGUGUACACUACUGAGCUCGGCCGGUAGUUGUAGUCUAUAAGCCACUGGACCGAUUUGCGCAAGAAUCUCGAAAGGUCCAAUGUAUCGAGGGUUCAGUUUGACUCGCUUCCCAAAACGAAUCACUCCUUUCUAAGGAGAGAUUUUUAGUAAUACCCUAUCUGCGACUUCGAAUUCCAAGGGCUUUCGUCGUUUAUCGGCGUAGCUCUUUUGUCUGUCUCGUGACGAUUGCAGUCAUGCUCUGAUCUGAAUUAUCUUCUCAGUCGUCUCGUGUAUGAUAUCCGGUCCUGUUAAGGCGUUGUUUGGAGUCUGCCCUCCCGCUAGUUGGGUGUCUCCUACCUCAGCCUAGCACAAUGGUGAUCUACAUUUAGGCCGUAUAAUGCUUCGAAAGGAGCAACUUUGAUACUCGAGUGAUAACUGUUAUUAUACGAGAAGUCGAUCAAAGGCAAGUGGGUAUCCCAUGAUCUUCCAAAGUCUAUUACACAAGCUCGGAGCAUAUCUUCAAGUGUAUGAAUGGUUCGCUCGCUUUGACCAUCCGUUUGUGGGUGGUAGGCAGUGCUCAUAUCGAGUUGUGUUCCCAUAGCUUUCUAAAGCGAUUUCCAAAAGCGUGAAGUAAAUCUACUAUCUCUAUCUGAGAUGAUAGAUACCGGUACUCUGUGGAGUCUCACGAUUUCUUUGAUGUAGAUUUUUGUCAGGCGGUCCAUCUUGUAUAAUUCUUUUAUUGGUAGGAAAUGGGCGGAUUUCGUUAGUCUAUCGACUAUUACCCAGAUCGUGUCCAAACCGUCCGUCGAAUUGGGUACUUUGGUCACAAAAUCCAUGGUAAUCCUUUCCCAUUUCCACUCGGGAAUUACUGGCUGCUAUAGCAAUCCAUAGGGCUUCUGAUAUUCCACCUUUACUUUAGCACAAGUGAGGCACUUGCUCACGUAAGUGGCAAUCUCUUCCUUCAUAUUUGACCACCAAUAAUGUUGUUUAACAUCCAAGUACAUUUUGUCUGAACCCGGAUGGAUGGAGUAUCGCGUCUUGUGAGCUUCGUUCAUGACUACCUCUCUGAAUCCCCCAAGUUUAGGGACCCAUAUGCGGUUCAUGAAGUAAUAUGCUCCAUCUUCCUUCACCUCCAAGUUCUUCUCCAUUCCACGCAGCGCUUCACUUGUUUUGUUUUCCACCUUCAAGGCAUCUGAAUGAGCUGUUCUGAUUUGCGAGGUUAGGUGGGAUUGGAUGGUUAUCGAGAGAGUUUUCAUACGACGAUUUGAGUAUUCUUUUCGACUCAAUGCAUUGGCUACCACGUUAGCCUUGCAUGGGUGGUACUUGAUUUCGCACUCGUAGUUGUUUAGCAGUUCGACCCAUCUUCGUUGCCUCAUCGAACUCGUAUUCAGUAUCUGUAUACCCGUCGGGUCCCACGACGUGUGCUCCCCCUGAUCUCCUUCUGGCUCAUCUUCGAGCAUCUUGUGGGCUACUAAGACCUGGUGAAACUGAAGGCCCUGGUGCUCUCCUUCCAUGUCGACUGAGAAGAGGUAUGCGAAUAACUAUCAUUACUCCUAUGACGCUUCUAUUAUUGUAUAGAUUAAGUUGUUGUGCUCUUUUUGGUGAUAAAGGGGUAUGCCUUUAGGUUUUCCUACCAUCGCGGUUUCCUUGGGACACGUGAUAGUUGUACCUUGGAGGAAAUGUAGUUGAUCAGGCUACAUCCUCUCGUUGAUACAACCAUGUAUAGUCCCAGCUUACCCGAGAUGAUAGCAUUAUCUUGUUUGGUUUGAUAUUAUAUUCUGUUUCCUAAUUCACACAUGCAAAGAUGUUUUAUAGUUGUGUUUUUAUUUGUUUUGUUUUGUUCAGAGUUUGGCUAGUCCCUUUUUGGUUUAUACUUGCAUAUCAAUGUGUGGUUAGAUAUGCUAGUUCACUAUAAACAUUGCUCUGAUACCAACCUGUCACACCCUCGAACCAGACGACGGAAACGUCUGAGGGCUCGCGUGACUUUAAUUGAAUAUCAUCACAAUGAUUAUACAUGAAUCAUGACAUAAACGUCACCAUGCACCAAUAUAUUACAACUGGAAUUGUUCACAUCAAGUACAUUGUUUUAUAAUUACACAUUCAUAGCAUAAAUAGUUUGAGUGCUUUUAUCAAUAUAACAUCUAACAUUACUUCAUAUUACUCUUCCGCUUACCUGUUACCUGAGAAUACAAGUUAUUUUGGAAAAAUGUCAACAUAUGAAAUGUUGGUGAGUUCAUAAGCAAUGUUGUGAUAAAAUGAUUUGUGUAGUUUCUAAAACCCAGAAAAUCCGAUAUUUUCUUAAAAGACUUUUGUUUAUCAAAGUGUGAAGAUCCAUAAGUUGAUGCAUGAAUGAUUUCAAAAACAUAUAUAUGAAGGGUAUUUUGUAUUAUAGUUAUAAUAUUUCGAGCGAGUAGUAUUAAAUUCCCCAAAAACCCGAUGUUUUCCGAUGUUGAAAUGUAUUCGUGAUUACUGAUUUUUGUAUUGUCUUAACGAAUGAAUAUUGAUUAAUCCACAUUGUAUAUUGUCCUAAUUUUGUCUACUUUGAUUUCUCGUAAGCCUUAGCGAAUGAAGAGAAGGGGAGCAUUAUGUCCCACUACUAUCGUAAAUACCUUAGGCUGUCGCGGGUGCGAAAGACACGAUGGUCAAACUCGCAUUUGAUUACUGUGACCUUACUAGCUUUUCUAACGGGACACUUUGGCCUACUAGCACAUAAAUGCUAUUGAAAGUCCUUUUAUAAAAUAUUGGGUCAUUGAAGGCCUAAUAACAUAUAAGCAUUACCCUUUGGGCCCAAAGAUCAUGUUGGCGGGCUUACAAGGCCCAACAAGCAUGAUUUGAAACUCAUAAGCCCAAAGUUCGUAGGUUUAUUCAUUUUAGUCAUCACAUAUCUAAUGGAGAGUUUUGAUUUAGCGAUUGUUGUUUUGUAUUGAUUCGAGACCGAAUCAAUUUGUUUUUAACGAUAUUUGGUAUUGAAGGUGUAUUCGUUUUCCGUUUUGUCGCUAGUCAGGUAUCUUGUAUUUUUUCUUAAUAAAUUAAUUGUUUUAAAAGUAUGAUUUUGACCUUUUCAGUACCUUUCUUUUAUAAAAAUAACACUUUUAGUCCUUUAUAUAAAAGAAUUUCAUUUUUAGUCCUUAAAACAUUUUCUUGACACUUUUGUAUCAUAAACUUGUUGAAAAGACAGUAUUAACCCAAAAUUUAUUUUGUAAACAGCUUUAGCUCUUCCAGAAUGGAGUUUCUCAGUUAGAACCACAUAUUUCACAACUUUUACAGUUUUGGCCCAAAAUAUAAAAAGUUUACAUUUUUGAUCCUUUUUGGAAUUGAAAAGCAUUUUUGACCUUCGAAAUAGUUUUAUUUCACUUCUUAUCCCCUGGUUUGCUGAAUGUUACAUUUCAGCCCCUUUAAACUUCAAUUUUCGCAAUUAUGGGCUUAUUGGGCCGAAAAGCCCAAAUUUAGCCCAUUAAGCUAAAUUUUUGCAUUUCAAGUCCUUUGAAAAUUCUAAUAUUCAGAAAAAUGGUUAUAGAAACUGUUUUGACUCUUUUGACCCUCAAGAAACCAUGAAUUGAUAGUUUUUAACCCACGUUUUGUAUUUUUGACAAUUUAAGCCCUAAAUGGGUUUUAUGUUAGAAUAUGUUCCUCAUAACCUUAUAAGUUAUUUUUCCUAACUUGUUUAGUGUAAAAUAACUUAGAUUAUGUUUCUUUCCUUUCUCAUGUCAUAGAUCUCAAGUUAACACCCCUUUUGGUUACAUAUUUAUCACAAAAACACAUAAAAUCACACACAUACAUGCAUAAAAUCACACAUAGCAUACACAUACACAUAGAUCUACACAUUUUCUUGUAUUACCCCCAAUAAAAAAAUAUGAAAACUAAAAAGAGAGGGGUAUGAAGCUCACCUUGAGUUGUGUUUUCGGUUUUGAAGAGUGAAAAGAAGAAAAUUUCGAUCCUAGCAAGUCUUCUUGGUAGAUCUCGAGUUUAGUGACUUCUAAGGUGCAAGAUUAC
Molecule: long non-coding RNA, 5460 nt
Filed under: Lactuca sativa (garden lettuce)
Lineage: Eukaryota; Viridiplantae; Streptophyta; Magnoliopsida; Asterales; Asteraceae
Description: long non-coding RNA (LSAT_LNC007497)
Source: RNAcentral